CGCGUAGGCGGUCUUGUCGGUCAGAUGUGAAAGCCCAGGGCUCAACCCUGGACGUGCAUUUGAAACAGCAAGACUUGAGUACGGGAGAGGGAAGCGGAAUUCCUGGUGUAGAGGUGAAAUUCGUAGAUAUCAGGAGGAACACCGAUGGCGAAGGCAGCUUUCUGGACCGAUACUGACGCUGAGGCGCGAAGGCGUGGGUAGCGAACAGGAUUAGAUACCCUGGUAGUCC
Molecule: ribosomal RNA, 229 nt
Filed under: uncultured bacterium
Lineage: Bacteria
Description: partial 16S ribosomal RNA
Rfam family: Bacterial small subunit ribosomal RNA
Source: RNAcentral